This is a long non-coding RNA of Triticum dicoccoides, 1285 nucleotides long. RefSeq lists it as uncharacterized. The record is from RefSeq and is a predicted model, not a curated record. Lineage: Eukaryota; Viridiplantae; Streptophyta; Magnoliopsida; Poales; Poaceae. The transcript is spliced from 2 exons.
CCCUGCCUCCCCCGGCGUGCCGCCACCCCCUCCUCCUCUGGUGCGCCGCUGCCCCCGCAUCAUCCAGCACGAGGCCACCCCCUCCUCCUCCGGCGCGCCACGGCCCCUGCCUCCAGCGCUCAGAUCUGCGGGAUCCGGCGAUUUCUCACGGCGGUGCUGCUCCGGUGAGCCUCCGUCCCCAAGCGCGACGCAGAAAACGGCCUCCUCCCUAUCGUUCCUCCUCCAUCCCCCGAGAACAGCGCAUCCGCGAUGGCCUCCUCUCUCCCGUCCCCUUCUCUGCGCUGGUAGGCGUUUGUGAAGUUCGACAUGGCCAGCCGCGUGAGUUUGAUUCCGCUGCGCCCUGUGCCCCUACCCUGCCUCCACCCACCAGAGCAGGCCAAGCUCCGAGCCACCACCUGCGCACGGAUGCCGCCGUGACCCUCCUGCCCCAAUCCCACCGGGCGGCGCCACCAGCAACCCCUCCCCAACAACAUGUCAGAUCCAGCGCCGGUGUCAGGCACCCCUCUUCCUUCACGUCCACCUGCUCCGAUGGCUCGCCCCUACCCACCCCGGGCUUCGGCUUCCGAUGAAGCCCCGACCAUGUUGUUGGUGGCAGAUGCUCCAGCGGCAGGCUCACUCCCCAUGGUGUGAUUGAACUUCAGUGCAGGGGGAGUAGAACCGCUGGAGAUGCUCGUGUCAAUUCCUUCCAGCGACCUUUGUCCACACCUCGUCACUGGCGUGAGGUAUAUAUAUAUUCAGCGUCAGAUUUAAAAAGUUCAGCUUCGCCCCUGGUUGAAGUUCAUUUGUCACUGAAGCUUAUGUUGUUCAUGACCGCGUGGCUGUAGAACAUCCAUGCAUGUCGAGUAAUUUUCUCAUGCCAGUUCAUUUACAAUAGCAGCUCCAGUGUGGCAGUAGGCGAUGGUGAAAACUGAAGUCUGAAACGAGUGUUGCUGGGUACAUCUGGCAGCAUAUAUUCUGAAGUUUGUUGGUGAAAAACAAAUGCUAGAACAUCAGUUGGUGUCAUUGGGGUCGUGCCGGCAAGCAGCAUUCUCCCCUGGGUGUACUCUCUCUGGCUCUUUCUCUUUGCAAUUCUAAUCUAUUUGUAGAUUCUAUCUCACAUACCUGACCAUAGUAGCAGACUAGUAGUGUUGUAUGGUCAGCUGCGUAAGGGAGUUUGUGGAGUGCACUACUAUGUCUAGUUGAACUCACAUUGAUUACUUUUAUAAGUCUAAACUACUUUUGGAAAUUUGAGUGUGGUGUUCCUUCAGGAAGCCAUUUUCCUUUUAGAAGGAGCUACAUUCCGUGA